UCCAUGAAGUCGGAAUCGCUAGUAAUCGUGGAUCAGAAUGCCACGGUGAAUACGUUCCCGGGCCUUGUACACACCGCCCGUCACACCAUGGGAGUGGGUUGCAAAAGAAGUAGGUAGCUUAACCUUCGGGAGGGCGCUUACCACUUUGUGAUUCAUGACUGGGGUGAAGUCGUAACAAGGUAACCGUAGGGGAACCUGCGGUUGGAUCACCUCCUUACCUUAAAGAAGC
This 229-nucleotide ribosomal RNA is filed under the name Escherichia coli. RNAcentral describes it as "partial 16S ribosomal RNA". It matches the Rfam family "Bacterial small subunit ribosomal RNA", at positions 1317 to 1533 of the family's 1533-position model. The record is from RNAcentral. Lineage: Bacteria; Pseudomonadati; Pseudomonadota; Gammaproteobacteria; Enterobacterales; Enterobacteriaceae. RNAcentral also lists the same sequence under 3 other names.